AUAGGAUCUACCUAGUAGUACGGAAUAAUUGUUGGAAACGACAACUAAUACCGUAUACGCCCUACGGGGGAAAAUUUAUUGCUAUUAGAUGAGCCUAUAUUAGAUAGCUAGUUGGUGGGGUAAUAGCCUACCAAGGUAAUGAUCUAUAGCUGAUCUGAGAGGAUGAUCAGCCACACUGGAACUGAGAUACGGUCCAGACUCCUACGGGAGGCAGCAGUGGGGAAUAUUGGACAAUGGGCGAAAGCCUGAUCCAGCCAUGCCGCAUGAGUGAAGAAGGCCUUUGGGUUGUAAAGCUCUUUUAGUGAGGAAGAUAAUGACGGUACUCACAGAAGAAGUCCUGGCUAACUCCGUGCCAGCAGCCGCGGUAAUACGGAGAGGGCUAGCGUUAUUCGGAAUUAUUGGGCGUAAAGGGCGCGUAGGCUGGUUAAUAAGUUAAAAGUGAAAUCCCGAGGCUUAACCUUGGAAUUGCUUUUAAAACUAUUAAUCUAGAGAUUGAAAGAGGAUAGAGGAAUUCCUGAUGUAGAGGUAAAAUUCGUAAAUAUUAGGAGGAACACCAGUGGCGAAGGCGUCUAUCUGGUUCAAAUCUGACGCUGAAGCGCGAAGGCGUGGGGAGCAAACAGGAUUAGAUACCCUGGUAGUCCACGCUGUAAACGAUGAAUGUUAAAUAUGGGGAGUUUACUUUCUGUAUUACAGCUAACGCGUUAAACAUUCCGCCUGGGGACUACGGUCGCAAGAUUAAAACUCAAAGGAAUUGACGGGGACCCGCACAAGCGGUGGAGCAUGUGGUUAAUUCGAUGCAACGCGA
Molecule: ribosomal RNA, 805 nt
Filed under: Wolbachia pipientis
Lineage: Bacteria; Pseudomonadati; Pseudomonadota; Alphaproteobacteria; Rickettsiales; Anaplasmataceae
Description: bacterial SSU rRNA
Rfam family: Bacterial small subunit ribosomal RNA
Source: RNAcentral